GACGGAAGGUGCAAGCGUUGCUCGGAAUCACUGGGCGUAAAGGGUGCGUAGGCGGCCCGGUAAGUCCGCUGUAAAAGUCCAGGGCUCAACCCUGGAAAGCCGGUGGAUACUGUCGGGCUCGAGUCCGGAAGAGGCGAGUGGAAUUCCUGGUGUAGCGGUGGAAUGCGCAGAUAUCAGGAAGAACACCCGUGGCGAAGGCGGCUUUCUGGAACGCAACUGACGCUGAGACGCGAAAGCGUGGGGAGCAAACAGG
Molecule: ribosomal RNA, 253 nt
Filed under: uncultured bacterium
Lineage: Bacteria
Description: partial 16S ribosomal RNA
Rfam family: Bacterial small subunit ribosomal RNA
Source: RNAcentral